This 231-nucleotide ribosomal RNA is filed under the name uncultured bacterium. RNAcentral's name for it is "partial 16S ribosomal RNA". It matches the Rfam family "Bacterial small subunit ribosomal RNA", at positions 99 to 334 of the family's 1533-position model. The record is from RNAcentral.
CGGACGGGUGAGUAAUGUCUGGGAAACUGCCUGAUGGAGGGGGAUAACUACUGGAAACGGUAGCUAAUACCGCAUAACGUCGCAAGACCAAAGGGGGGACCUUAGGGCCUCUUGCCAUCGGAUGUGCCCAGAUGGGAUUAGCUAGUAGGUGGGGUAAUGGCUCACCUAGGCGACGAUCCCUAGCUGGUCUGAGAGGAUGACCAGCCACACUGGAACUGAGACACGGUCCAG